CGCGCAGAUGGUUUCUUAAGUCUGAUGUGAAAGCCCACGGCUCAACCGUGGAGGGUCAUUGGAAACUGGGAGACUUGAGUGCAGAAGAGGAUAGUGGAAUUCCAAGUGUAGCGGUGAAAUGCGUAGAGAUUUGGAGGAACACCAGUGGCGAAGGCGACUGUCUGGUCUGUAACUGACACUGAGGCGCGAAAGCGUGGGGAGCAAACA
This 207-nucleotide ribosomal RNA is filed under the name uncultured bacterium. Its description in RNAcentral is "partial 16S ribosomal RNA". It matches the Rfam family "Bacterial small subunit ribosomal RNA", at positions 568 to 774 of the family's 1533-position model. The record is from RNAcentral.